AUGUCUACGUCACAAUCCCCGAUGGCCUCUACGGAUCAAUCUGCUAUCACUGUGGUACGAAGCGAGGAAGAAUCAAAUGGAAUAGACAACGGUGAUGAAGUACAGGAAAAAAAGAGCACACAGGCCACAGAUUGCGAAGUCGCAAAGGGAUUAACCAUCAAGGAAACAAGUGAAGAAAUGCAGCCAGCUCAAGACAAUGAAUUAGCACAAACAUUCGACACCGAAGGGGCAGAAACUGUAGGGGACAAGCUUGCAGAACUAAAUGGAAUACCCAACAAAGAUGAAGUGGAGAAAAAGAAGAGCACGCAGUCCACAGAUUCCAAGGAAUUAACCUUGAACGAAACAAGAGAACAAAUGCAGUUAGCUCAGGAUGAGGAAUUAGCACAAACAUUUGGCAUCGAAGGGGCAAACACUAUAGGGGACACAAUGAGAGAAUCAAAUGAAACAGCCGACAAAGAAGUGGAGAAAAUGCAAAGCACGCAGUCAAGUGAUUCAGAAGACUCCGAAGUGACAGAGGAAUUAACCUUCAAUGAAACAAGUGAACAAAUGGAUGCAGCUGAGGACAGAGAAUUAGAACUAACGUCUGGCAUGGAAGGGGCACAUGCAGGGAAGCCUAUCCGACUGCAUAACAAACCUAAGAAGGCACAAGACUAUGUGGUGGCUCCAGAAGAUUACGCCUGCACCGGCGAUGAUUGGUCUGUGAUUGAAAAUAUCAUGUCUGAACCAAACGAUAAAAGAAAUUUAGUGAGCAUUGAUGACUCACAUCUCCAAAGAAAACAAUUACAACGUCUAUUACUCCCAGAAGAAUUUGUUGGCGACGAAAUCAUAGACGCAUACAUACAUUGCAUAAGUGCUAAAGAGCAUCUACAGAUGAGGUCAGGUGGAAGUGUGUUCUUAGAGAGUGCAUGCAUCUCUAAGAUGAUAAAGGAAUUUAGCUCUAUACGGGAUGAGGCACCAAGAUGGGUAUUAAACAGAGCUACAACUUAUUUGGAACAUGAUAUGAUAUUCAUUCCAGUGAACAUUGAACACUUCCAUUGGUACCUAGCAGUUAUAAAUACCGGGCAGCGAUGCAUCCAGGUGCUCGACUCGCUAGGCCCAGGAAUGAGCCGCAAAGACCUUACCGCUAUGCUCAAAGGACUGGAAAAUGUAUUUGAAUAUGCAUCGCUUCAAAUGGAACUAAAAACUGAUAAGUGGAAAGACUUAAACAUCUCAACAUGGCGAAGGGAAGAGUGUAUUAAGAGCAAACUGCAAAGAGAUGGGUCAUCUUGUGGUCUGUGGAUGAUAAAUUUUAUGGAGUACUUCACAGGAUAUAUUUUGUCUGACAUUCCUACACAGGAACAUAUGACAGAUUUUAGAACAAAACUAGCUGUCAUCUUAGUGGACUCGGAAUUGAAUGAUGAUAAUAUAAGAAAUCGAGACAUGGAAGAUGACGAAAACAACACAGAUCCCACGGAAUGUAUGAUUCUGGAUAGACCUCCUGAGAAUUUCAAAACAUCAAAUACAUCUGAAGAAGUCGAGCUCAUCUCACAGUCAUUUAUCCUUUCACCGUAUGUCAAAACAACAAACGAUGAUUUAAUAGAUGAACUGUGCUUGUUCAUCGGUAUGGUUGAUGAUGUCGCUCUACUAGAGAGCGAAUGGGUGAAAAGCUCUGAUCCAUACCCUAUUAGCUUAAAUUUGAGACAAAUAAAAAACAUAUUGAACAACGAUGAAUACAUGGAUAUCCAUUGCUUUAAUAUGGCUGUGCGGAUACUAGCGCGGCACGAAGUCCAGCUUCUCAGAGACAUUCCAUCUCACUAUAUGGAUCUGAACUUUUGUUCGAUGUUCCACUAUGCACGAGACUCAAGUCAUCGUGAGAAUAUGGAAAUUGCUACAUUGAGACAGUUGUUUCAUAGCUGGCCUGACAGUAAUGAUUACCAUAUCUCACAAUGUGAUGUGAUUUUAUUGCCUUGGUAUAUGUUUGGACUAUUUCUAUUGUUUGUGUUGGAUCAAAAUAAAAAGGUUGUUUCAAUUUUCGAUCCGUUGCCAAUACCUACUCUGGGGAAUAAUGUACUUAAAAUUGUGGCUGAGAACCUAAACCGUGCACUAGAAGUUGCAAACCCUGCAUUCAAGGAUGAUAUCUCUAAAUGGGAAUGCUUAGUUCCUGUUGCUCCAACUAACUCACAUUGUGCCCUGUCCGGUUAUUUGGUUUUUAAUUACAUGCACUCAUUGUGUGAUGGAAAACUAUAUUUUCCCAUACCCAAGGAUGGAUUUCAGCUGAGGAAGCAAUUUUUGGUGCAUAUUUUAAAGUACGAAGAGAAUGAAGCUCAAAACAACAUCCCAUACAUUGAACGAAGCAUCAUUGAUCGCAUCUAUAGAUGGACCUUCAUUGCUUCAAAAGAUGGACCUUCAAGACAUGCUUAG
This 2400-nucleotide ribosomal RNA is filed under the name Triticum aestivum (bread wheat). Its description in RNAcentral is "partial small subunit ribosomal RNA". Lineage: Eukaryota; Viridiplantae; Streptophyta; Magnoliopsida; Poales; Poaceae. The record is from RNAcentral.